AGCGAACGCUGGCGGCAUGCCUAACACAUGCAAGUCUGACGGGCUGGGCUUUCGGGCCUGGUCAGUGGCGGACGGGUGAGGAGCGCGUAGGAACGCAUCCAAGGGUGGGGGACAACCGCGGGAAACUGCGGCUAAUACCGCACGCGGCCCCGAGGGAGACCUGGGGGCCAAAGGCCGGGAGACCGGCCGCCCAUGGAACGGCCUGCGUCCGAUUAGCUAGUUGGUGGGGUGACGGCCUACCAAGGCGGCGAUCGGUAGCUGGUCUGAGAGGAUGAUCAGCCACACUGGGACUGAGACACGGCCCAGACUCCUACGGGAGGCAGCAGUGGGGAGUAUUGGACAAUGGGCGAAAGCCUGACCCAGCAACGCCGCGUGGGUGACGAAGGCCUU
This 390-nucleotide ribosomal RNA is filed under the name uncultured bacterium. RNAcentral describes it as "partial 16S ribosomal RNA". It matches the Rfam family "Bacterial small subunit ribosomal RNA", at positions 30 to 418 of the family's 1533-position model. The record is from RNAcentral.